CACACACAGACCAGGCAGGGUGCCGUGGGUUCACAGACACGGCCGCUUCACCUUCACGACACAACGGAGCAGAAUGUGCUGGCUCUGGGACUCAGACAGCACUAAAAACAAUAAACCGAGUUUCUGGAAAGUCAACGAUUGAAAAUACCUGUUAUUACCUGCCUCAGCCAGCAGACGCAGCCUGGGCCUCCCGCACGGUAAACGGCGACGCGCACAGCCGCGGAGUCACGGGGGAUUUCCGCCGCUCAGGGACCGACUGUGUGAUGGGCUGACGGUACCGAGCGUUAGAAGAACGCAAAUGAGUUCUAUUUUGGAACAUCUGACAGAGACGUGGCUUGUAGGAAGGUGAUGUUUUUAAAUAAUAUGUUUCAUGCCGUAUAGUUUCUUUUCAUGAAAACAAUGAGACAAACCAACAAACAAAAGCUGAGGGAAAUUCACCCAGGACAGUGACGCAACCCGUCUGUGAGGGGAAAGAUGACACUUCCAGCUAAGAUAAAAAUGCAGCAGCUCACGCUCCAUCUCCGUACGUGGAAAAUAAACCAGCAUCGCUUCAAGUAACUAUUGAUUCUGUUAUUAAAACACCGCCUGUUUGGUUUCCCAGAUCAUAGCAGUUAUUAAUGCAUUAUUAAUUCCGUAUAAGCUUCUGGCUUGUCAUUUCCAUUAAGCAGUGGAAUAAUUGCUGAGAGGGUGGGGGUCAGGAGGUGCGUUCACACCUCACUUCGCAAUCUAGAUGGAGGCAAGCGGCUGGGAAGGCCCUGGGACACAGACAGGCACCUGGCUAUGGCAGGGUUUGUUAUGUGUCCCAACCAGCCAAGUUUAUUUUCGCAGGGCUGAUGAGACAAAGAUUGGAAAAGGAGGAUUUCCGAGGCAGGUUUUGGCUGGCUGGCUGCAGGGGAGCCUGAAUUGGGGCUGUUUUCAGUUGAAAUUAUGAAACUCAACAUCCAAGUGAAGAUUGAAAUAUUUUUCAACUACCCAGACACUGUUCACAGGAUCUUUCGAGCAUCUGGACACCACUGGGUGGAUUUUUUCACUGUCGAGGAAACGUUGUUGUGGAAUAGGAUUAGUGAGGAGGCAGGGCGAGGGAGGGAGAGCCCUCGGUCCGCUGCCGCUGGGGGCUCUGCCUGCAGUGCAGCGUCACGGGAAAGCCCAGCACGCUUUCAGGAUGGGACAGCACAAUUUACUUGGUCUAAUUUGCCAGAGCUGCUUGAAUCUCUCACCGUUUUUUUUUUGUAGAUCCCAUUUGCUAUAUUUGGCAAGGGAAUUUCAGCCGACAGGAGGAGACCCAGCCCUGUCCUCAGAGAAGACGCUGUUUUACCCGGAUACAGUGGACGAGGGAGAUGAAAACGGCGGGCAGGCCGUGGGGGGUUUGGAUGGGUUGAAGGUAGCGAUUUACAUAAAGCAUCAGGGCAGUGUGGGCAGUCCAGAGGGGGACGUGUGUGUCUACCGCCGUUGUUGCUCCACUCUCCCUUGUCAGUGUCUAUGAGGUUGGCUGGCACUAGCAACCUCUGGCACCUCUGCUGAGUCUGGUGCUUGGGUGAGGGCCGAGCCGGAGCUGCUCUGGUUUUUGUUUAAUGGGACCCACUUUCCAGCUGAUACAAAUGAAAGUAGAAUGAUUGGAAAGCCAGAAGGGUCAGCAGUCCUGCAGGCAUAUGAAGCUUACGUAGUUUUAAGAGUUCCUGGAAGGCAGGCAGGGGUAAUUGUGCCCAGGAAGCUCCCAUGACUCCAGACGUUUUGUGGCCUCCUCCUGGGGAGUCCCCAGGUUGCUCCCAGUGUGGCAGCCCAUCUUUGGAGGCUGCCUCAGGGACAAACAGGCUCCUGGUAUUCUGAGCUGACCAGAGACUGCAGAACUGAUCAAUACUGACGAGCAGGGCUCUGUGCUCCUGAGAAGGCCUCCACAGCAGGGGUGCUGGCAGGGGGCGGGACACGCAGGCCCACACCCAUGACACUUCCAACUUCUCUCCCUGAGUCAAAGCAAACGAUAAUUCAAAC
This is a long non-coding RNA of Equus asinus (donkey), 1989 nucleotides long. Lineage: Eukaryota; Metazoa; Chordata; Mammalia; Perissodactyla; Equidae. The record is from Ensembl.